This 96-nucleotide non-coding RNA is filed under the name Rhodococcus pyridinivorans. Its description in RNAcentral is "Glycine sequence". It matches the Rfam family "Glycine riboswitch aptamer". From Rfam's summary of the family: This family represents the bacterial glycine riboswitch. Lineage: Bacteria; Bacillati; Actinomycetota; Actinomycetes; Mycobacteriales; Nocardiaceae. The record is from RNAcentral. RNAcentral also lists the same sequence under 1 other name.
CGCCAUCACGCGGGAGAGACCCGGACACCGAGCCGGGCGCCGAAGGAGCAGCACCUCCCCGUCAAUCUCUCAGGCAACCGGGACCGCGUGAGCUCC